This 387-nucleotide ribosomal RNA is filed under the name uncultured eukaryote. RNAcentral's name for it is "partial 18S ribosomal RNA". It matches the Rfam family "Eukaryotic small subunit ribosomal RNA", at positions 592 to 976 of the family's 1831-position model. The record is from RNAcentral.
CAAUAGCGUAUAUUAAAGUUGUUGCAGUUAAAAAGCUCGUAGUUGGAUUUCUGAUCGAGACAUCAGGUCGGGUCCGAGAGGAUCAUGUACUUUGAUUUGUUUUGAUCAUCCUUGGGGAGAGCAUUUCUGGCAUUCAGUUGUCGGGAUUGGGAUCCUCAUCGUUUACUGUGAAAAAAUUAGAGUGUUCAAAGCAGGCCUCGGCCUCUGAAUACAUUAGCAUGGAAUAAUAAGAUAGGGCUUUGGUGGUCUAUUUUGUUGGUUUGCACGCCAAAGUAAUGAUUAAUAGGGAUAGUUGGGGGUAUUCGUAUUCAAUUGUCAGAGGUGAAAUUCUUGGAUUUAUGGAAGACGAACUACUGCGAAAGCAUUUACCAAGGAUGUUUUCAUUAA